CUUCCUUCUGUUGGCGCUUUGGGAAUAUUCAUUCUUGGCUCGCGCCCCGCACGGUUGACAGUUGGGCUGGGAAAUGUACCCGCGACUUAAUUAGGGCAUCGCCAGACCUGCCAAGCUCCAGCUCCUCCCCUUCGCGACUGCCGCGACCCCCGGGACCCCCAGGACCCCCAGGGCCUGCCCCACGCUGUGGGAGGGCGCCUCGCUGUUCCUACGGCUGUACCAUCAGUGCCCAACCCGUGUGCUCCGGCUCAUAGAAACCUGUCCUGGCCAAGGCAGAGCGACGGCCUGUCCCACAGCUUUCAUCCAUCUGAAAUGGAUUUGGCAGGAUGACACUCCCUUUCUUGUGAAACCCAGUCCUGGCUUGGGAUCCGCAGAUGCUCCGACGCGUCCUACCUUCACCGUCCCUUGGUCCCUCGUUCAGUCACUCUACAAGUAU
RNAcentral lists this long non-coding RNA (436 nucleotides) under Aotus nancymaae (Ma's night monkey). RNAcentral describes it as "lncRNA (ENSANAG00000038596.1)". The record is from RNAcentral. Lineage: Eukaryota; Metazoa; Chordata; Mammalia; Primates; Aotidae.